GCGGCUUCUAUGAGGAAGGCGACGCAAAGGAGGCUCGAGGGCUUGUUAAGGAAGGCGGCUAGGGCCGCUGAAGGGGGAAAACGAAAGGCGUUUUCUGGUCUCCCCUUCGCCUGGGGGUGCUUGUGGGGGGGGUGUGCCACGACGAAACAAGGGAAUGAAAGGUCGCUUUGCGUUGGAUGCUCUUUACCCUCCCCACUAUGAGGGCUCUGUUGUCUUGGGGAGCGUUGAAGCCUGCUUCUUUUCCAUAC
RNAcentral lists this long non-coding RNA (248 nucleotides) under Oryza brachyantha (malo sina). Its description in RNAcentral is "long non-coding RNA (OBRA_LNC002852)". The record is from RNAcentral. Lineage: Eukaryota; Viridiplantae; Streptophyta; Magnoliopsida; Poales; Poaceae.